GUGGGAGGGGGCUUGCCCCCGAUAGCACCAGGCCAGUCAAUGUAUCUGCAGCUGAUCCAUCGCAAUCGGGGGCAAGCCCCCUCCCAC
Molecule: unclassified non-coding RNA, 87 nt
Filed under: Pseudomonas azotoformans
Lineage: Bacteria; Pseudomonadati; Pseudomonadota; Gammaproteobacteria; Pseudomonadales; Pseudomonadaceae
Source: RNAcentral